AUAGCGUAUAUUAAAGUUGUUGCAGUUAAAAAGCUCGUAGUUGAUUUUCUGUUAAUUUUUAUGUAUAAUAUUGCGAUAUUUACAUAAUAUUAACAUAAUUCACAUUACUUUUUACAGUAUGUGGAAUUUUACUUUGAGAAAAUUAGAGUGCUUAAAGCAGGCUAUUGCCUUGAAUACUCCAGCAUGGAAUAAUAUUAAGGAUUUUUAUUCUUCUUAUUGGUUCUAGAAUAAAAAUAAUGAUUAAUAGGAACAGUUGGGGGCAUUUGUAUUUAACAGUUAGAGGUGAAAUUCUUAGAUUUGUUAAAGACAAACUACUGCGAAAGCAUUUGCCAAGGAUGUUUUCAUUAAUCAAGAACGAAAGUUAGGGGAUCGAAGACGAUCAGAUACCGUCGUAGUCUUAA
This 401-nucleotide ribosomal RNA is filed under the name Cryptosporidium scrofarum. RNAcentral describes it as "SSU rRNA". It matches the Rfam family "Eukaryotic small subunit ribosomal RNA", at positions 594 to 1029 of the family's 1831-position model. The record is from RNAcentral. Lineage: Eukaryota; Apicomplexa; Conoidasida; Eucoccidiorida; Cryptosporidiidae.